AUGGUUUAAAAUUUAUUUGCUACAGGUUUGAGGCAGAGUUUUUCACCUUUGACGUCUCCCAGGAGAACUGCCAAAGUAAAAGCCGGACCUGUGCCACCGCUAUCUUUGAGUGAUGCAGAAAAUUCCUCACCAUUAAGUUCAAACAGAUCUAGUCCAGGGAGAUUUGAAGGAGACCCACCAUUAAGAAGACUGAGCAAUGGAGUCCAGUCGACAGGGUCCCUGUCCUCUGGGAGCAGUCCACCUGAUAGUCCAUAUGGAAGCCAGUAUCUAGAAACACAGAAGGAACCUCAUCGCAGAAGUUUGCCAAAUCUCUCCAAGGGGACGUCAAAUUUAAAAUCUCCAACAAGUGCCACUGGCUCAGAAACAUUUAGAGUCCAAGCUCCCCAAGUACAGCGCCCAUCAGGAAUGAAAGAGCCUGUCAAUCAUUCUCCGACGUAUCGACCCACGUCACCAGCAGUUAGUGGUCUCAGACAACCGGCCAAGCGGCCAGUUUCGCCUGCUGGAAGUGGGAUCCCUGGACCCAAGACGGGAAUCCCAAGACCAGGGAGAACAGGAAUUCCUUCGCCUAGGAGGUACUUCAGCAGCAACAACAAAUGAUUGCUUUGAAAUAAAGAGACAAUUAAUUGGUAGCAAAUAUUCAUUUGUCACAUACUUAUGUUUUUAUGAAACUUGGCAGAUGUGUUAUGCUGUCAGUCCAACUUCUCU
Long non-coding RNA from Lingula anatina, 705 nucleotides. The record is from RefSeq and is a predicted model, not a curated record. Lineage: Eukaryota; Metazoa; Brachiopoda; Lingulata; Lingulida; Lingulidae.